AGCUUUGCACAGUGGCAGUAUCUCAGCCAAUGAGGUUUAUCUGAGGCGCAAUUAUUGCUAAUAGAAUUAGGACGAUGAUUGGAACUCAUCAGCUUUCUUUUACAUGAAGUAACCUUGUGAAUGGAAGUCUCAAAUCUAAGA
This 141-nucleotide small nuclear RNA is filed under the name Neogale vison (American mink). Its description in RNAcentral is "Neovison vison (American mink) U4 spliceosomal RNA (ENSNVIG00000021774.1)". The stretch from base 1 to 67 matches the Rfam family "U4 spliceosomal RNA". Lineage: Eukaryota; Metazoa; Chordata; Mammalia; Carnivora; Mustelidae. The record is from RNAcentral.